Molecule: non-coding RNA, 780 nt
Organism: Jatropha curcas
Lineage: Eukaryota; Viridiplantae; Streptophyta; Magnoliopsida; Malpighiales; Euphorbiaceae
Source: RefSeq, a predicted model, not a curated record
AUAAAUUCUGAGAUUAGCAGAAAUUGAUUUAUACCCCAAAUAUAAUUUUUCUUGCUAAAUCAGGGAUUUACUCGUGCCGGAUCGGAGCUACGCGUGCUGGAAGCGACUGGACAGCCUGAGAUCGACGCAGGAGUUGAGCUGCAGUGGUGGCGCUGUGCGAUCUGGUGGCGGAGCAGCUGGUGGCGCAACUGCAGGCUCGACAGAUCUGCUCCUGGAGGUCGGCAGCGCGCUGGAGCUGCAACAAGGCUGAGCACACGGAGGAACAGUGGCGGAGCUGUGGCUGGGUUUGCAAGGAGCAGCAAUCGAGCGGAGGAAAACGGCUGUGGCGUGCGACGGAGUACGAUCGAGCUGGUGGGGGCGCAAUCUGCUUCUGCCAGCAGUGGAGUCGCAAGCGCAGGAAAGAAAAGGAAAGAAAAAGAAAGAAAAGAACAGAAAGAAAAAAAAAAGAAGAAGAAGAAGAGGUGGCGGUGCUGCGUUGGUGGUCAGGGGGUGCAAAAAAAAAUGAGGGAGUGAGGUGAGCGCUGGAAAUAAGGGGAGAGGGGAGAGUUCUAGAAGUGGUUUGGGCUGAUUCGAUUCAACUCUGGUUCGAUUCAGCCCAAAUCUUGGUUUUUAUUUGAUUUGUCAAUUAUCCAUUGAUUUUCGAUUCGGUUUAUCGCUGUACAAAUUAUUAAUUUGCAUGUAAAUAAUUACAUACAUUUUCCACGCUGUCAGUUUAUUAAAUUUAAAUGAAAAAUCUUUGAAAAUAAAAAUUCGGGUUGUUUCAUAUAGCAUCAAUGGAAU